AUUGCUUCACCGGUGAUGCUGCAGCACAUGCUGAGCCUGUGUCAUUAUCUACGAGCUGCCCUGAUUGCUAGGAAGAGAUACGGGGGUGAGAUACGGGGGUGAAUGAUCACCAGCUGGAGGAGGAAACUGCAGGCUGCAAGGUCAAAGCCAUCUUCACAACUGCCUGACACCUCCCUCAGCUGGUGGCAAGCUUGAGCAGGGUGGAGACAGCAGAGAAGGUGAGCAAGGAAAUCUCUCUUGCUCCCCCUGCCUUGAGAGUGGCAGUCACUGGCCAAGGCAGGAGGCACUGCAGGGCCCUCUACACGGAAAUGUAAAGGGAUUUGUUGGAUUUGUUUGCAGAAGUCAGUAAACCGUGGGCCAGUCUGUGAACCCUAGCCUCUAAAAAUGCUCUGCUAAACCUGAAACGCUGCGUUGUUCUAUCCCCAGGAUGAACAUCAACACUCAGUAAUAUUCUGUGCCAUCCCACAGCCUUGACAAAUAGUAGAAGGGAACUCAAAUUUGCAUAGAAGGAAAAAGUAUGGGGACACACAUCUGAGGAGCACAGCCAAGGACCCAUCUCCCCUGUGAAUUUCAGCCUGAGGAUUUCGGGGUACAAAUGAUGAAGAAACAGCCAGCCAGGCUGUGCAGGUCCCCAGCUGCUUGUAGGCACGUUCAGACACGGCAAGGGAGGCCUGAGAUGAACCUUUUUACCUGUUCAUGCUCUGAUGGGCCCGGCUGAUGCAAAUGCCAGUCAUCGUUAAUGCUGUGAAUCACUAAUUCAGCGCAUGAAUUGGAACGAGUUAGGUACAAUUAGGUGUUUGCACAGAUGGGGACAGACAUAUGAUGAUGUUGUCAUGUGUAAGCCCUGCCAAGCUGUGUGUGCCUCUCAGCUUUCUAUUAACACAACACCCAGCAGUUUCUCGGCAAGUCAAGCCACGCAUACAAAAAGCUUGUGAGCAGUACUAAAUAUAACAAAUCUGUUCUCCCCAGAGACUCUUAACAAGGGAUCCUAAGGGCCAGCAGUAUUCGUAUCAAUAUGAAGACAUCAUCUGUGAAUAACAUCAUACUUGGUGACAAGAACCAUGAGUGAACGCUAGAAUAAUGCACCACGCUACCAAUGAAAAUAGAAAAAUGCAUAUUGAUGUAAAAUGAAGAUGGAGCAAAAAUGAUGGUAGAGGACGUGAAAACAUCCUUCCUGUCCCAGUUCUGCCAGACUUUGUUUAUGGGACCCAAACUGGUGUUGCCAUUUCAACUGAACUGAACACAGUGAUCCAGGCUGUGUGGCAGGUCACAACAAAUCAACUUGAGCACAGCUGGAGGCAUUAUUUUUCCUUCAAGGAGAGAUGUUCAUCUCUGUUUUCUAGUUUGGCCACGAUUCUGGAGAGAAUGGAAAGAACUGAGCUGAAAAGAGCAACAGCACAAAAGCAAAGCCAUUACUCUUCUCUUGGCACUGUGCUGUUAUCGGGUGGCUGCAUCCAUAAAACCCUCACAGAAAGCUGGAGACUGUCACUGCAGAGUAGUCAGUCACUUUAACUUCUUCCUACACACAGCAAGACAAAAGCAGUGCAUGAUUAAUCACCACCAACAAUCUUAGUGGCUGGAUUCAAAGCAAAGGCUUUGGAGACAAAAUGUGGGGAUACCAUUGUCUGGUGGAGAGUGUGGCACAGAAGAAAGACAGCACCACCCCUGGCUGACGUUCUUCAGGCUCAAUCCUCGACCCUCUAGAUGUCUGUGAGCACGACUGCACACAAAUCUCACCAGAGCCAGGCCAUGAAAUGCCCACUUCAGCCCCAGGAUAUUACAGAAACACAGAAUGGUUGAGCUACCAACCUGAGGAAAACACUCCCAAUUGUUUUCAACUAGCUCCAAGCAGGAGGAGGAAGAUGAUAUAGGACAACCUCUGUCAGACAUGUCACUUCCCACCUCUGUGGGGUCCUUCCCCAGCACAGUGCCAUGGAGAAGGGCAUGGAGGCCUGCUGCUCCGUGAGGGGAGAGCAGGGGAGAGCUCAUCCUCAGGGAGCAGGGUACAGAGGGGUUAUGGUGCAGAGGCAGAGGAGAUGGUGCCCUGAAAGAGCUCUGGCACCAGAAAUGCUCUGAGGACAUUCAGAAGGAAGAGGGUUUCUGUCAGUGCUGCAAAGUGUUACCUCUCCCCUCCAAGGCUCGUGUGACCUGCACAGUGCCUGGAAGAUGCUUAUGGGCUUUCUGCUUCCUCAUUGUACCUCAGGCUAGGUUAAACUGAACUCGUUUUUAGGACCGCUGCUCUGUGGCUGUGACAAAAGCCAAGUGCCAGCCCCGGUGAGCACAAACGCACACAGGGAUCGGUCAACUAGGCCGGCUGCUGGCCUCUAUACAUCCCUAUGUAUAUAAACAGAGCCACAACAAACACACUGUCAGCACUCACAGCCAGCCCACUGACUCGCAGCAUCCAUGGCUUUGCCUCCUUGUCUUGGUUUGGCCACCUACUCCUUUUUGUACCAGAUCUACUUACACCUUUGUUUUGGCAAAACCAUCACUCUACCUACUGGAAUCACCUGCUUAAUGUCCAUAUAUUUAGCUCUUACACUAAAAUACCCUUCUAUCCGAACCGCUUUAUGAGUCAGGAAGUCAAUCUGAGCAGUUACUCAUGAAUGAGAUCAUGCAGUUAUGAUGGGUCCUGAAAACAUCAGUUUACACGAUAAGAAGCAGAUAAGAAAGCACAUCCAAUACUGGGCAGAGGUAGAGGAGAAACAAAUAACAGAGCAGAGAAUGUUAUUGUGGCACUGUUGAAACCUUUGAUUUGCUUGUGCCUUGAAUUACA
Molecule: long non-coding RNA, 2776 nt
Organism: Anas platyrhynchos (mallard)
Lineage: Eukaryota; Metazoa; Chordata; Aves; Anseriformes; Anatidae
Source: RefSeq, a predicted model, not a curated record